This is a long non-coding RNA of Xenopus tropicalis (tropical clawed frog), 568 nucleotides long. RefSeq lists it as uncharacterized. The transcript is spliced from 3 exons. Lineage: Eukaryota; Metazoa; Chordata; Amphibia; Anura; Pipidae. The record is from RefSeq and is a predicted model, not a curated record.
UUGAGAUUUGGUAUAUUGUCUUCGGUGUAGCCUUUAAGUCUAUCAUCGGGCUGUGGAUUGGAGGCUUGGAAAGACAAAACUGGUAUCCAACAUGAAAUAUGAUACUAAGCUUCUGCCAGAACGUACCUGCCAUCUGUAUUCUUCCAUUGACUUUAAUGGCUUAUGCAAGGUCUGAGGUGGUGUAAAAUAAUGGCUUAAUCGACCUUUAUAAAUAUAGUGGUUUUCAGGUGACAGUGAUAUAGCAUGCCAGUGCCUGAUGCUGAUGUCCUAUCUCUCAGCCAUCCACAUCACUAAGCAGAACAUCAAUAAAAGGUUUGGGAAAAAUGUGCCAAAAAUCAACUGGAUAAAAAUGGAGGCUUGAAGCCAAGCUCAACUAAAAGUUACUUUAUAGAGUCAAGUUGUACAAGAAAGUUUAUUUUAAAAGUAACAGUCACCACCAUAGAACAGAUUCGUUGCUGGGAUAAAGUUAUAGUAAUUUCAUUACUUAUUGUUCUGUUCAGUCAAUCUAAAAUCCCCAUGUAGAUUGUAAGCUCUCCGGGGCAGGGACCUCCUUCCUACUGUGUCUCGA